This 487-nucleotide ribosomal RNA is filed under the name uncultured bacterium. RNAcentral describes it as "bacterial SSU rRNA". It matches the Rfam family "Bacterial small subunit ribosomal RNA", at positions 501 to 987 of the family's 1533-position model. The record is from RNAcentral.
CUACGUGCCAGCAGCCGCGGUAAUACGUAGGUGGCAAGCGUUGUCCGGAAUUAUUGGGCGUAAAGCGCGCGCAGGCGGAUUGGUCAGUCUGUCUUAAAAGUUCGGGGCUUAACCCCGUGAUGGGAUGGAAACUGCCAAUCUAGAGUAUCGGAGAGGAAAGUGGAAUUCCUAGUGUAGCGGUGAAAUGCGUAGAUAUUAGGAAGAACACCAGUGGCGAAGGCGACUUUCUGGACGAAAACUGACGCUGAGGCGCGAAAGCCAGGGGAGCGAACGGGAUUAGAUACCCCGGUAGUCCUGGCCGUAAACGAUGGGUACUAGGUGUAGGAGGUAUCGACCCCUUCUGUGCCGGAGUUAACGCAAUAAGUACCCCGCCUGGGGAGUACGACCGCAAGGUUGAAACUCAAAGGAAUUGACGGGGGCCCGCACAAGCGGCGGAGUAUGUGGUUUAAUUCGACGCAACGCGAAGAACCUUACCAGGUCUUGACAU